This 5071-nucleotide long non-coding RNA is filed under the name Strigops habroptila (Kakapo). Its description in RNAcentral is "lncRNA (ENSSHBG00005012126.1)". The record is from RNAcentral. Lineage: Eukaryota; Metazoa; Chordata; Aves; Psittaciformes; Psittacidae.
GAAAUGCUGUGAAAUUGGCUUACUCAAUUUUUUAAUUCUUAGGGGGUUCUAGUAAAUAUUACAGGAGAAAAAAAAGGAAAAUUAGUAUUCUACAUAUGUAAUGUUUAUAUGUCAUAUCAAUAGCUCUGUCCUGUUAAAAUGGAUGUCGAUAAGACUAAGCAACUUGUUGUCAUGAAGCCUGCUCUUGUGCCAUUGUUUGCCAUUGUCUCUGCAGACAGAGAAUCAGUUCUGGAAUAAUUAGAAAAUUAGUCACUGCAGUACCUUCAGUUGGUCUGUUUGCUUUUGUGUUGAGCAGUUCCCUUUUUCGAUGAGAUAUGCCUGGUAUUUGCUUCUGCUGAUAAGAAAUGGGUAGAAGGGGUGGGAAGAUGACGAGGAAACUAAAGACUCAUUUACAGGGAAAAGUUAAUAUUUGCUAAUCUGCCAGAUACAGUAGGUUAUUGUUUCUUGCUACAGUCUGAAUGGCAAUCUGUGUUUUUCUAAAUUAUGUCGUUUUCCACAAAAUGCAGAUUCAGUGUUAAUCCAUUCAGCAUUGCAGUUACAUCACCUUACAGGAAGCAAGAACAAUAUGUCCCUGUUGUUCUUGAGAACAGCCCGUGUUUGUCAACUACAGAAGGAAGUCACGGACUGAAAGGAGACGGAAGCAGCAUGCUAUUCCACUUAGCAUUACUGGCUUGUGAGGCUUGCUUCACUAUCAGCAUUCUAUACAUCACUGGCCGCUAGGUUUAACUGCAAUUAUAAUUUUAAUAUCCAAGAAUUUGCCAACUUUCUUAGUUGCAAAAAGAAAUGUAGGUUUUGAUGAGUGACAAAGAACAUAUGCUGGAUGCCACAGGCUUGAUUUACUCAAACUAGUGUAAACAAGACCCAAGACCAAAAAAGGUAGUUCAAAUGUAUCUGAUUUAUACAGAUGAAAUCUAAAACAUGCGUGCAUUUAACAUAACUCUACCCAAAUUAUAUUUUUUCAUGUAUUAUGGCAGUUAGUGUCCAGUUGAGGGAGAAAAAUGAUUCUAGACUAAUCUGCAUUUUGAAUUUUGUUUAUGGUAGUGCUAAUGGAAUUGACAGAAUGGACUAAAAGACAUCGCUACAGAUACUGGGUUUAAAAUAGACGCUAAAUUUCAUCCCUACUUUCAGGCCCUCUUACUUAACUACAUUACAACUAAUAUAUAGGAAUAUAACUAACAUAUAGGAAUGAGAGAUUGGAGAUGCACUGUAAACUCUUCACUGAUAAGCAGGACAAAGAAGCUUGCAGGAGUGAAGGAGUGAAGUCCAGUAUGCUUUAAUUAUGGCUGUAAAAAAAUCAAUUCUGCCUCAAUUAUGGGUGUAAAAAAAGAAAAAAAAAGUCAAGAAAUUUGCAGAUACAAAAAUCCAAGUGAGAUCUUGAAAGUACAUAAACUAAUGCAAUUUCUGUGAGCUAUCAACCAGAACUCUCACAGAGCAGAAAUGAUUAAACUGAAAUAAAACCCUCUUUUUUAAAAACUAAGAAGUUAGACUAAGUGUAUCACUGUAGACAAUCAGAAGUAGCCUUUAUGCUCACUAGAGAGAGGGCAAUUUGGUUAUGAGGCAGUCAGCUGCCAGUCUUUAAAAAGAGGCAAAUCUGUGAUUACACUGAACGUUUAAAGCAGUAUUUAAGUAUUACAAAGGGUCAGGUAAACAGAGACUGCUGGGCAGCAGCUGAUCAUGGAACAGUAAUAACAUGAUCAAAUCUGUUUACCAAAUUAUGGCAUGGUGCACAUAAAUGGCAGUCAGCAAAAACUGCGGGAGCAACGUGGAUACGUCAUUGGGGAUGGGUAUUUCAUCAGUCAGAACUGUUCUUGGAGCCCUUGUCUGGUGAGUAUGGUGAAGAAUGUGCACCAUUCUUGCUUUAUACCCUUUUUCCCCAGAACAACUCUCAUGUUUCUUUCUAAAUCUCCUCACCUAAAUCUUCUUCUGCUCUAGUGUCUUUCCUCCUCUUGUGUAUUUUGUUCUUUUAAACUUCCAGAAAAGUCUCCGUGCUAACUGCUUCUUCCUUUCAACUUCCACAAUGCUCUUUUUCCCCAUCUGAGGGGAGCCUUUUCCCUUUGCAUUUGUUCCUGCACCCCUCCUAGUUAAUUUCAUUUGUUUAUUUUCAUUGUUGCCAGUUUUGCAAUCUCAUCAUGAACCUUGGGAAACUAAAUGCUUUCCUUAAAGCUUCAACUGAUACAACUUUAAUGACAGUAUGGGAAUUUCAGCUGGGAACAUCCCUAUGUUGGUCAAUAAACGCUCACUACUGUAGAGGAAAAUAUUGAUGGCAUGAAGCCUAACGAAUGGCUUGAUAACUAAAAGACAGAAAAAUGUUUACUGCAGUCUGUAUUUUCAGUUUUUUAAGCUACCUGUCCCUGCAUGUGAGCAAAUGGCUCACAAUCUACUUUCUCUGGUAGAAAAGAUCUUUUAUAUUUGCUUAAAUACUUGGGCUCAAGCCUUCCUGAUUACUGUUUGUGUGGCCCAGCAAGGGUUUUGGAAGGAUUUGUAUACAGCAGUGAUGGUCACCAACUCAACUCACACCUAACCUAGCUGUCAGCUAGCAAGCUCAGGAAAUAAGGGACGCGUUAGUAACAGAACGGAGCUCAUUGGACUUAAAAGGGUGGUCAACCCAGCGUGAGAAUAUUGCUGUAAGCAUCUCAACUACGGAUUUAAUGCUAACGAGGGGUAUGAAUGUGAGCUGGAAAGGUACAGCCUAAGCAAUUGUAUUUUAUUUUUGAUUCGUUGAAGUGAUGUUGGGUUAGGAACAAAAUAAUCUCGGUGUAGUUGGGGCAUUCCCCCCCAGAACUGAAGGCUCUCAGUGGGUACGUGGAACGUGGCUGCCACCUACCGCUGCACGGGCCGUAAGUCUGGUGUCGGCCGGUGGCAAGGCCGGUUUCAAUGGCUGCAUAUAAAAUAGUGUAUAACAAUGAAAUAAAACGCUCCUGUGGUUGGUGAUCCUCCUCCUGAAUUGACCCAGCUGCGCAGAGGCUGAGGAGGAAACGCACUCAUGUUUAGCAGCUUUUUUUUGUCGGGCCCUUCUCUCUUUGCUUGGAAGAUAUCUUUUGUUUCUUCGUAUUCUCUCUGCGUUGAAAUUUUCCUGCACAAAUACUUUCACUCGCUGUUAUUACUUUGCUUCCUACUUCUAAAGAGCUUGAAAACCUGAAUUCACAAGUUUGUCUCUGAAAAAAAUUUGUUUUGGGAACUAGUCCUUCUCUCAGGACUUCCUUGUAACCUUUUAUCCACUUCCUGAUCUUGAUGUCUACAAAAAUUCUUUUAACCUGUCUUUAAAACAAAGCUGGGCCACUGGUAAGAACAGCUUCCUGUUUGUGUAACCCCUUUGUGGAAUUUCACUCCUUACAAAAGAUCAACUAGAUUUGAAAAUGGACUUGAUGAAAUCUUUCUAAUACUCAGAUCAGUGAUAAAUUGUCCAUAAACCAACUGGACUUUACACCACCAUCAAGCACUCGACUCCCAAACACCACCUCUCAAAUGGCUGUACCCAAAUCAACCUACUGCACCACAACAGUGGCUGUGAUUCUUUUCAAAUGCUGUUACUGACAUCCCAGUCACAAAAGGCAAUUACCUUAAAAAAACUUUCUCAGAAAAUUGUCUACUAAUUUGGAUUUUGAAAAGAUACAGUGAUUUAAAAAGAUUCCACAGAUGCUAAAAUCAGUGGAAUUUGGCCUGGAGUAGCCAAUUCAGUAAGGUGUUCCAUUGCCCCAGGGUUAAAACAUCUCAUCUCAUCUCAUCCAUGGUCUGUCAAUAAAUUAAGCCCAUAAAUUGCCAGUUGUGAGGCUUUGGGAGCUGCUGUGAUAAUCCCAAUGAUACACUAAAUUGAGGUUCACUUGCAGUGGUUUUGGAUUGAUUUGAUUCUAAAAUCCUGGGGGCUGUUCGAUAGCAUAUUUGUUUUCAUUUUUACCAUGAGAUCAAGAACUGCCUAAUUAAGGGAUCUGCAUUUGAAUGCCAAUUUCAGCAAUUUCUGUGGCUUUACGGUAGAUUUUGUAGCCAAGGUUUAGUUUCAAAUAUAAAGCUGAGUAGCAGGAGUAUGUAACUAUCCUCCAAGCUCCGUGAUGUAACCUUGAUUAAGUAAUCUAAUCUGCCUUUGCUGUACCUUCCUAAUGUGUAAAAUAAUACUUUUACAUUUUUAUCUCUACUCUUAUGAGUGGGUCAUUAAAACUAAUUAGGGUAGUCUGUGUCCAGCUGGAAUAAUUGCUGUAUUUUAAAGUCCUGUAAAACAUAUGCAGGAUAGAACAUAAUAAAAGCUGCAGCUGCUGCUCUGCUGAAAUACUUAUUUCCUAAGCCUGACCACCACCCCCCUACCCCGCUUCCUUUCAAAGCCAAAAUUCUCACUGGCUUAAGUAGAAUUUGUCACGGGUGUAAGAGAUCUUGAGUUUGAUCAUAAAAGGGCUUCCACUGAGCAUAACUGCAUCACAAGACUAUGCAUAACUACACAGAUAAAAUGUGCAGCUCUAUCCAAGAAACUAGAGAAUGAAAUACAAGGGCUUUUUAAAAGGAAAAUGACAGGAAACAUACAUACUUGUACUAUGAUUGAGGCAUCUCAUGUUCAAGCUGAUGCACACACAACGAGCUGAUGUAUGUCUUAGAUGCAAUAUAAAAGAACGGCUUAUCUCUUCAAUUUGGAAGCCAUCUCCAUCUCACCAGUGGGGUGAUUUCGCACAAUUGUUUACCAUGAGAAACUGGCAGCCAGUGGUCCGAACCCUGGUGCAGGCCAGGUCACCUUAACUGCAAAUCACACUGUACGACAACCUAAGAGUACCAAGUGAUGAAUUUCUCAAGUGGCGCUCCUGAGUUUGCAGCUCUCCUCUGAGGUGGCCAAAGGACAAAGCCGCAACGAAGGAAUAAGCUGCCGAGGCCCCAGGCCGCCACCACCUCUGUGAUCGAUCACAGCGGGACCCGUCAGCCGCAGCAGAAGGGGACGGCCACCCAGGCCCACCAGCAGCUCCCCUGUACCGCAGGAAGAAGGGCACUGAGGCAGCAGCGCUGCCGCCUUCAGCCGGGCCCGCCAGCGCGACCCAUGGGCCGCCCCUUGCCAUCGCCAAAGAUGGCGGCGCCGGCGCCGCAGCUUCAGCACCGC